RNAcentral lists this long non-coding RNA (2292 nucleotides) under Nicotiana benthamiana. Its description in RNAcentral is "long non-coding RNA (NBEN_LNC041599)". Lineage: Eukaryota; Viridiplantae; Streptophyta; Magnoliopsida; Solanales; Solanaceae. The record is from RNAcentral.
CUUAGUAUCCAAUCAACAUGUGAUUAACCAAUUUCGAAUUCCAGAUUUCCAAAGCCGUCUCUUUAUCCAAAGUGUUUCAAAGUUCCAAGGGAUCGCAAGGAUUCCCGGCAUUGCUUACACUCAGGAUAACAUUACAAUUAGAAUAGUGCAAUGUGGAAUAGCCAACCCUCAGGCAUCCAAGUUCAGAUGGAGCUCCAGUAUCUCAAAGCAUGGCUUGCAAGAGAGGGACAGAACUUAGAGCUAGGAGUAAGUGCAAAAUGAUUGGGGAACCAUAAUAAAUGGUGGUCAUACCCAGUCACAGGUGUAGACUGGCACACCUCUGACCAUUUGUUUGGUCAAAAAAGUUAAGAGCAGACCUUAAAGGUCAGGCCUGCGUCUGAAUGAUGAUUAGGACACCACUAGACUUAAGUCAAGCUCAACACAUAAAGGGGAAAAGGGAAGUGGGAAUUGAUUUGAGCUAAGAGGGUUCAAAGAACCUUGUUCAAUGUCAUAGACAACAAUGUUGAGUGCUGCUAUGGUUGGAACUACAACUAACAAACAAAAGGGGUUGAAAGGGAAAGGAUUCACAUAAGCAUAUUAAUGGCAGAAGCAUAAGGAAAUAAAGCAUAAAAGACUAGGAAUUAACACAUGGUGAAGGAAAGCAUAACAGACCAAGAGGUAAACACAUAGUGAAGAAGACAUUAUUUAACUAGAACAUACCAGUUGCAAAGUAAUAAUGCAGUAGAACAACAGACUAAGCAAACAACCAGAAAUUAGCAGGAGCAGACUUAGGUCUUGAGAGUUCAGUGAGAACAUAAGAAUAUUGCAGAAGGUAGGAGGGAGAAAGGAGAGUAGAAAAUAGAGUGCUCAAUACUAUAGGUAAGAAAAGCAAUUUGAUGUGAGAGAGUUCAGUGCAGAAAAGUUGCGAUUUCGAAUGCAGAAGUAGUGUGUAGAUGUCUGAAAGUAUUGAAUUCGACGUGUAAGCAUGUCUUUAGUGCAAAAGAGCACCCCCUUUUAUAGUGCAGAAGACAAGUGAGAAGAAGGUAAGAAAAUAAUUUUGAAAGUCAAUCAUAAAGAUUUCCCUUCAGCCAAGGGAUUGAUUUCAAACGGGCAUAAUAAAUAAGGAAAUGGAAUAAUUUUAAAACCUUUUCCAGAGUAGCAUAAUAGGGGUAAAUAUACAGGGCAUUAUUUAAGGAAAUAGUUCAACAACACAAGUUUUGGACCAAAUAAUAAAAGACAAUCAAUUAACAGUCAGUAAAAUCAGGGUUGGAGUCUUAGCUCGAACGAACCCAACCCAUAAACACGAAUAGGAAACUUAAUUUAAAGAAAAUCAUCAACAAUCAAUAAAACACUUUUAAGAAGGGCUCGGAAUUAAUCACAGGCUGGCCAAAGGCCUUUUGAAAGAACAGAAUUUUUCAUAUAAAAAGAAUACAGAGACAAGAGAGAGUUCUUGCAAAACUAGCAAGAAAUCAGAGUAACCAAGAAAGUUAGAUUCACAUACUCAAAGUGAGUCUGGAAGAGAGUCAGGGUUCUGAAUGGAACCCUAGUUCAAACACAAGGUCGAGCUUGCAAAAAACCCCCAAAUACUAGGGUUUCUGACUCAAAUCAAAUGCAUAGAUGAGAAAACAACAGAUAAAAUACGCUCAAUAGUCUCUUUCAGAGACUUAUGAGAGAAUGAACAAAGAGAACAAUUGGUUUGAAAUACAUGGAAUUCAUUUAGGAGAAGCUUGUCACUCAAACAAGUUUAGAAGAGAAAAAGCAACACAUGUUUAGGAAAACAGUAGGUGAAGCAUGCUUAGGAAGAACUUGGGGAAAUCUGGUAAAGCGAGCAAACAUAAAGAACCCAGUAGGAGACACACACAAUAGAAAUCAUUUAGGAAAAAAUAGCAGAGACAGUCACAUGAGCUUAGUCUAAAAGCAGAGGAAAAUACAAAGCAUAGAAAAAGAAACAAAAAAUCAAGUUCAUGCGUAGUAGAGAAGAAACACAUGAGAUAAACACAGAUGAAAGGCUUGGAAGAGGUCUGCUCUGGAGUCGAUCUGAGCCAUAGCUAGGCUCUUAAGGCCCGAAUACGUCGGAACGGGGUCGGAGAGGCCAUAGAACCUCAGAUCUGUGGAGGAUAUUCUCGAACACAAUCGAGGCCAGAACUUGAAAUCUCUAACAAACAUGGCUUAGGAGUGAAGGAGGGUGAGCACAGGCUGUCCAUGGCCUGAGGAGCCAUGGACUCCGGUUAGAUUGGUCGGAGAAUUCGAAGGAGAUGAUUAGGGUUUCGAGUGUUUGAGCGCAUUUGAGAGAGUGAGAGAGUUUGAGGCUGG